UGCCAGCAGCCGCGGUAAUACGGGGGGGGUUAGCGUUGUUCGGAAUUACUGGGCGUAAAGCGCACGUAGGCGGAUUAGAAAGUUAGAGGUGAAAUCCCGGGGCUCAACCCCGGAACUGCCUUUAAAACUACUAGUCUAGAGUAUGGUAGAGGGAAGUGGAAUUCCACAUGUAGCGGUGAAAUGCGUAGAGAUGUGGAGGAACACCAGUGGCGAAGGCGACUUCCUGGACCAAUACUGACACUGAGGUGCGAAAGCGUGGGGAGCAAACAGGAUUAGAUA
RNAcentral lists this ribosomal RNA (279 nucleotides) under uncultured bacterium. Its description in RNAcentral is "partial 16S ribosomal RNA". It matches the Rfam family "Bacterial small subunit ribosomal RNA", at positions 506 to 784 of the family's 1533-position model. The record is from RNAcentral.